RNAcentral lists this unclassified non-coding RNA (222 nucleotides) under uncultured Tomentella. RNAcentral's name for it is "sequence contains ITS2". Lineage: Eukaryota; Fungi; Basidiomycota; Agaricomycetes; Thelephorales; Thelephoraceae. The record is from RNAcentral.
ACACCUCAACUCUCAUGGCUUUGCCCAUGAUGAGCUUGGACUUUGGGGGUCUUGCUGGCCUAUGGGUCUGCUCCUCUCAAACAAAUCAGCUUACCAGUGUUUGGUGGCAUCACAGGUGUGAUAACUAUCUACGCUUGUGGUUUUCCACCAGGGUAACCCCCAGCGAUGGAGGUUUGCUGGAGCUCAUAAACGUCUCUCCUCAGUUAGGACAGCUUUUUGAAC